AUGCAUGCGCCUGGUAGAAUCUCUGCACACACAAAGCAUGCGCUUGCAGACAAGGAAUCUCACAAGAAUUUAUGCCCUAAUAGUCCAAACAGACGCCCAUUCCCUAGACGCAUAAAGCAACCUAGGCGCCAAGACCAUGGGUGCCCCUUCAUGAAAAAAAUACCUAGGCGCCAAGACCAUGAGUGCCUCUUCAUUGCAUGUGAUUAUUCACAUGCAUGCGCCAAGACCAUGAGCG
Molecule: long non-coding RNA, 235 nt
Filed under: Lathyrus oleraceus (garden pea)
Lineage: Eukaryota; Viridiplantae; Streptophyta; Magnoliopsida; Fabales; Fabaceae
Description: Pisum sativum (pea) long non-coding RNA (PSAT_LNC019582)
Source: RNAcentral